This is a non-coding RNA of Malus domestica (apple), 4195 nucleotides long. Lineage: Eukaryota; Viridiplantae; Streptophyta; Magnoliopsida; Rosales; Rosaceae. The record is from RefSeq and is a predicted model, not a curated record.
UCAUUAAAUGUUAAAAGAAUACCAAGGGACCGUAAUGCUUUAAAUAGUUAUGAGAGAUAUUUACUUCACUAUGUUACUCCAACAAUAAUUUCUUGGUGCACUAUGUAAAUAAUAAAUUUCUGUGCAAAAAAUAAUGCAUGUGAUGGUAAAGAACCAAAAUGAUGGUGUGCAGCCUUAGUUGUAUCUAGAUUCACAAGUUUCUUCUGUUCUGUAACCUAUAUAUUUCUUCAGUUUAUGAGCAACGCUGACUACACUUUGGUAGUUUUAUAGUAACAAAUGGGCAGUUAUCUAUUUGCCUUUGGAUAGCAUCAUCUUCUUUAUUGUUCGUUGUAGUUCCUGAUUUUCUUCUUGGAGUAAUAUGAGUGGUUUUGCAUGCAAACAAUAUCACUUCUCAGUCAUUGAUUUGUUUUCUUUACUUAUUAUGUGCACAUCAUACACAUUGAGUUAUGAUAACCAAAAUUCCUUAGACAUAAUAUAACUUUUUCAUUUAUGUACUUACCUUUUUCAUUUGAAUCCUGGGGUCCAUAUGGUGCUCAAUUGUUAUUGGGGAAAUUGCCUUACUAAGCACCAGAAAUUAAUAUGCAGGGUUGGCUAAAAGAUAGCUCACAUUCUAUUUGGGAAAAUGAAAGCGCCAUGAUGCGGAGCCUGGUUCUGCUUUUGAAAUGUUUAAAGAUCAUGGAAAAUGCCAUAUUCCUAAGUAAAGACAAUCAGAUGUAGACCUUUGAAUCAAACUGCAAUUUCAAGCAGAUCUGUUUUCGUUGUUGAAUUCAAUCCUCCCUAGAUAACGAGCUGCAGGUCAUUUGUUCUAAUUCCUCGAAAAAGCAGUUCAAGUUUGACCAUGUCUUCAGACUUGAGGACAACGAAGGUCUACGUGUGCGGCAAGCAAAAUCCUUUCAUUCAUAUGAGCUUCUUGGGCCUCUUUACCUGGGUUUUUGAAAAAUUUGAACUUCACAAACUAUGGAAAAAGAAACAAGUUUUGCUGUAAUCAAUUUAAAGGCACAAUAACAAAGGUUAUGCACUUGCUUUGGACAUGACUGCCAGAGACAAGCUUCUGCUAAGAUGACACCACCUUUUCGGAUUUCAUACUUAUGUUCUUCCUCGAUGCUGAACUCUUGAAGGAGGGAUUAUCACUGUCAUUUGCCUUGAGGGUCUCCACUUAAAAAUCUCAGUAACCAUGGUGAAUUGGCUGCUGGCAAUAUGCACAUGGACGCACAGCCAAUUGCUUAUACCCGACGCUCAUUUUAAUCAGGGUGCAAAUGACUAUGUAUUGUCAAAAAUAAGUAUGAGUUUAAAUGACAGAAUAGAUUACAUCAUUGUCUGUUUAGAAUGUUCAUUGCUUUUCUGCUUUCGUGUUGCAUAUUUAGCCUUUCUCUGGGUGGUGAUCGUUUGAGGAUGUGCGAACUUGAAUGGUUGAGUGUGCUUGAUAGCAACCAAAUUCGGGUGAGAGCCAUGAAACUCUAAUCCUAAUUUUUUUCCUCUUUUGAAUUUAAGAGUGAAAUUGGUGCAUAUGUACCCUUUAUGUUGUCAACCAUGCAAAUUAAGUGUUUUUGGAGGUACUGUUUGUAUUUUCUCGGAAGUUCAGAAAGGGUGUUCCAUCGGUCUCAAUAAGAGUGGGUUGAGGGUACUUUGCAGAGUGACAGAGGUGGGUCUAGGGUUUCUCUCCCCUUCCUCUUCUUCUCCAUCAAAACCCUAAUAUUCCCAAUCCAAUCUGUCUUAUUUCUCAACACACCCACCUCCCCCUCUCAAGUCUCUAGCUUUAGCCGGCCGGAACCCGACCAAACUAACCCAAACCUUAAAUGGGCAGCCCACCCAAACACUUUUUUUUCUUAAUUCUAUUUGUUGCUGCUGGUUCCAAUAUUUCAUUGUCCUAUCUGUGUAUAAUAUCAGUAUUGCCACUUUUGUUAUUCUUAUCAAUAUUUACAUCUUCAUGUUCUUUUCAAUUUGUUUCUUUUACUUAACAUGGUUUCGACUUCUUGAGAUUGUGAGUUAAAUUAAGAUUUUAUCAUAUGAUAUCAUAGUUUAAAUUUGAUAGUUUUUUAACCGAAAGUGUCUUUUAAUGUGAAUAAAUUCUGUUAACAAGGAUUUUGGUCUCUAAAUUUUUCGUAGUGUAAUUUGUAUGGUAUAAUUUCUGCCAUUGUCUUUGUUUUUGUACUUCUCCCAUUUGUAUGUAAAUUUAGUGAAUUGGUGACAUUUUCGGGUCUGUGAAUUCAAAUGAAUGGUUAAAAUUUACAGUGACGGAAGAAAUUUAUGAGUUUUAACAAAUUUGUAAAUUAUUCAUAUACAUUUUAUUGAGGGAUACGAGGAUCUGAUCAAUUUCUCUCUGCAGUGGGAUUGAAAAUUGGGACUUUGUGGUACUCUCUCUCCCUCUUUCUUGCUCUCUCUCUCUCUCUCUCUCUCUCUCUCUCUCUCUCUCUCCCCUAUGGAUUUUUGCAUUGUGAAUGUUGAAUUUGUGUUUAAUUUUCUUUGUGAUGUUCAGCUGUGUGGCAAUGGAUACAUUCUUCAAUAGGAGCGUGUUAUUCUCGGCCCUAGAUGCUAUUCAUUGUGAUUUCCAAGGUUUCCCAAAAUAACAACAUUCAAAACAAUGGGGUGGUUUCGCUUUUCAUAAAUUUACAUUGGUUGUCAUCUUUAAAUGUUAUACCAUGCUGAGUUCCAAACUUUAUCUCUGGCAUUUUAGUGCGUUUUAGAUAGGAUGCAGUUAUGGCCGAAUAGCUAUGUAUUCUUUUAUCUUAUUAUUUUUCUUUCCUUUAGCUAUUAUUACGUGCACCCAAUCAACUCUCUUUCUUUUCUUUGUGAUAAUAGGUAACUGCAAUUUACUUUUGGAAUUGAUUCUUCACUGAUGAGAUGUUGUGGGGGCAUGAUUUGGGGGAGAUAUGGGAAGGGGUUGGUUGCAGAGAGAGGGUGAGGGCGGGUGCAUGAUUAGGGGGACAAAAAGAGAGUUGAUUGGGUGCACGGUUUGAGGGUAGGGUUGAAGGAACGAGUGUAUGGGCUGCAGAAAGAGGGUGGGGUUGAGGGAUUGUGUCUCUCCCUCACUGUCACACCUCUUCUUCUUGCAUUUACCCUUUUCUUCCAUUUGGGAUUGUGUUGGGGGUUUUGUUUGUAGCCUAUGAUUCUACGUGUGUUUGUUUAAUGGGUUUUUUGUUUAAAUUUUUUGGUUGUGAUUUUGGGGAUUUUGUUUGUGGGUUCGGAUUCAGCUUUAGGAGGUCGUGGUUUUUCAGAUUUGGGACUUUUCUUUGCAUUCUACGAAGCCCUCUAUAUUUAAAGUGAGCAGUUUCAAAAUUCCAGAGUUUUGAUAUAGAGUUUUGUUUGGUUUUUUUAUUAUAUUCGACUUGAAUUUGGUUUUUUGGUGUUUUAUUUUAUUGAAAUCACAGUUUGGGUUUAGACUUUUGUUUGGGUUUGAUUAUAAUUUUCUGUGCUGAUUAAAUUUGAUAACUCCAAAAUUGAUAAUUGGUUUGGUUUGGUUUGAUAGCUGAGGCAGGUAUAGGGAGAGAGGGAAAUUGUGGUUUUAACACUCUCGCUUCUGUUCUUGGAAGGUACUUCUUUAUAGAAGUUUCUAUGCUGAAUUCACUUUAUUUCACCUUAAAUCAUUGUCAAGGGACUGGUUUUGGGAACUUUGUGGUGCACGAGGAAGUUCUUCGGGUUAUUCAAAUGUUCGGUGGUUAACUUUCCGUUUGGAGAUUUUAGAAAAUAAGUUGUAGUCAUGAAUUUUUAGUUUCAUUUAAAAUGGUGUACAACAACAUCCAUAAUUCUGUGUUAAGUUUUUUAUUUUUCGGUUAGGCACUUAUAUGGUAAUGCCUCUAUUCUCUACCUCCUCUGAUUCUUAUUUUUUAUUUAUUUUUUCUCUUUGUGCAACUUCCAAAUAUGUUGGAAUUGGUGGAGCUUCCCACUCGCCUAGGCAUCUUUCCUUUAUGAAACAAGGUCCUUCUACCCUGCGCCAUCUUCGAAUUCAUUGCACUUCACCCGACAGGUAGUGUCAAAUUGGUGGAGAAUGAGUUAUGGUAGCGGGAAGAGAAGGGGUUAAUUGGUAUUCUUCCCGUUCAAGGGAGAUUCUGGUAAACGAAGCUCUAGAGUUUGUACUCAUCUCUCAUUCUUUUUUAUAGUUAGGUUGAAAGUCAUAUUAAUAGAUUCUUUAUUUAGUUGGUCCAAUUUGUAACAGAUGAGAUUAUUUUGUGUGAUAUUUCAAUCAAAAUGUGAUCUU